Long non-coding RNA from Mastomys coucha (southern multimammate mouse), 1877 nucleotides. RefSeq lists it as uncharacterized. Lineage: Eukaryota; Metazoa; Chordata; Mammalia; Rodentia; Muridae. The record is from RefSeq and is a predicted model, not a curated record. The transcript is spliced from 2 exons.
GAGUGUAACAGGCAAAAGGGAAGAAGUUGAAAAACUUUAAUUACAGCGUGGAGAAAAGUUUUCACCAUUGAUCUCCUUAACCCUGGAUGACAAACACCCGAACGCUCCAGCAGCCCGUGGCACUUUGUUUAAGUUUGGGAGAAGCAGAUAAUAUCAACUCCCAAAUAACAGUGCCCUUGGGACAGUCAGUGCCUCAAAGAGGUUGGAACUCGGGUUUCAGCAACAAAAGCAAACCGUAAGUAAUAGUCUUCGUCCUUUAAGAUAUCAUUUCGCAGAAGAACAAGGCACUGCACCUGGACUUUAAACGGAUGGAGAACAACAUUAAAUUUCAUUUGAAUCUGAGAGUCAUCCAGUUGAGAAAAAGCACAGCCACAGUGACAAGAGCAACAGAGCACCGUCACAAAGGUAUGGAAAGUGGUAAAAAUGCAUGAACUUCUGUUUUCAAAGAACAAUAAAGAUAAAUAAAAAGUAAGUUUUCUAGACAUGCCUUUCCUAGCUUAGGAAAGUUAAUUUCCCAAUGUGCUUUUGCUGUCAAAGGUGCAAAGCCAAGGCGAGGGAGUGCGUGGCUGGAAUCUGCAUGCUGAUAAGAGAAGGGUGAUGUACUUACAGUGACAGAGGGCAGGCUGCGGGAGAAAAGCUGUUUGUGUUAGCCUGCGAGUUACCCAGGGCUGCAGUGAGAGCCGAAGGGAGGAGGCGUGGGAGUGCCCGUCUGCGUACACCUUCACCGCGUCUCAUUACAUCUGCCAGCCUCUCUCUCCCUCUCUCUUUCAUUUCCACAUUCCCUUUGUUCCUGAAAAAAAAAUCUACACGUCACAUCAGAGUCCCCAGAUGCAGUCUACACCAAAGAAAAAAAUGAAUAAUUCAAUCAAACUGUGCAUAGUCUCUAAGGCAAUAAAUCUAUCGCACUUAAAGAAACGAAGGGUAAUUACUACCAUAGAAUUAGAAUAAGGCCAAAGACCAGAGAUGUCGCUGAGUCUCUGGAUAAACUCCACAGUCAAAUAAAGUUUCAUUUAUUUGAUCCUUUUUACAUCUCGAACGGGAAGUCCGACAAAAAAAAUUAAACUUAUUUUAGAGCUAUUCGCGUCUUUUGAAACACAGUCUAGAGAGUGGGGGAGGGUAUUGGAGGGUCUACCUUGUUCAAAAGCUCCCAAAGACUUCAGCUGAGCGCCCGGCACAGACACCAACCAAGACAAUGCGUGCCGGUGGAGCCUGUCCAGAGCCCUCUUCUCCCACUCCACCCUCUUCCACUCCCCUCUCAACAGCAGAGCGCCCUCCGCUUGCCCACCACUGUGAUUCUACAGGAGGGCAGCUGUAAUCUGAGAGUCUUACCUGCGGCAAUGCGAAGACCCAAAAGAAACUGUCUUUCGCUGCCACCAACACCCCGUGCCAUUCCUAUGCACCCCUCCAAAGUCCCGUAACCAUCUAGUUCUUCCAUCUGCCUACGAGAAACUGUAUACCGGAUUCCCUCCCACCCCCCACGACUGAAUGGAAGCUCUAUACGGAACUGACUUCUGGAUAUGCCCUGGGUUGAGUUAAAGCGAUGUCUGGAAAGGAAAAGAAGGGAAGGAAAAAAGGAGGGGGCAGCUCAAGCCCUAUCCAAGUUAAUCAGAAGGCGGUGUUAGGCGGGAAGCGCCUACGGGAGAAACAGCUGGGCUGCACACUGGCCAUGCAGAUCGCAGUUCUAGGAACCGUGUCCUUCGUCCCAGAGGGCCCUACUACAUCUCUGGAUAACCUGGAUGGAGUUCAAUAUGUAAUCCAGUCCAGGCUUGCCUUGAACUUUCAGUCAUCCUGACUUGGCCUCUCAAAUAUUACUGGCAUUUUCUUGUGAGGAUGAAUUAUCUAUAUAGAUUUUAAAAACAAAAAAACAAAAAAAAAAU